UGAUAACCCAUUUUCCUGAAAAUUCAAUUAAUCAAAUUCAGCUCAAAAACUAAUAAACGCUAUCACAGUGACUCCUCCCACUUCUGGCGGCACUUCACGUGGUUAUCAAUCUCUUUUCA
Non-coding RNA from Caenorhabditis elegans, 119 nucleotides. NCBI's taxonomy places the organism in Eukaryota, Metazoa, Nematoda, Chromadorea, Rhabditida, Rhabditidae. The record is from Ensembl.